GCCCCAGGAUAUUUACGUCAGGACAGGUAACAUAUGCAUCCGUAAGUAAGUAUAUUUUUUUUUUAUUUAUUAAUAGUUGUCUGAUAGAUAUUAAAAUAAUUUGAAUAUGUAUUACAGAUAGACGGCAGCCCAGAGAGAAGAAAAAAGAAGUCCUAGACAUGGAGAUGAUAUAAUUGUUGAUGCCUAGAUGAUGAUGCCUGAGAAGUUUUAGUGGUACAGCUUGAAGAUGGUUCCAUUGUACAUAGAAGAUGAAGAUGAGUUAGGAUAAACCUUGUUAGGCCUGAGAAGUUUUAGUGGUACAGCUUGAAGAUGGUUCCAUUGUACAUAGAAGAUGAAGAUGAGUUAGGAUAAACCUUGUUAGGUUAUUACAGUGACUGUUUUCAUGGAUGGGGAGUAAAACUUUGUGGUCUAAUACUCAUAAAUUAAUGAAGAUUUUGGAUCCUUUUGGCUUGAAAAAUUGUCAGGAACAUGAAGAAACUGAAUCUGUAAUAAACAUGGGUACACAAACAGACAAAAUAACAACAACACUGGUUGAUACAAUUCUUGGAACCAGUGAAGAAGUUAAAAGUUUUACAAUAUACUGAAGACUUGCAACGGAAAAUCCAGGAAACAGGUUUUUUACUGAACAGUUUGAGAGAGCCAAGAUGAUUGUUGGAUUUAAAAUGCUUGGAAAAUACAACCAAAUGAAGACAAAAAAUGCACUGCAUCAACAAACAAAACAACUACUGGAACAUUGGGGCAUCAGUACUGAGUUCUGAUUCUAAAAACAAUUGUUCAAAAUCUUCUACAAGUUUAAGAAGACUGUACAUACAUGUAUAUAUAUAUAUAUAUUUAUAUAAGAAAGAAAAAAAAUAAUGCAUGUGCUUGAAACUUGUGUACAUACAUCAUGUAAUGAAUAGAAAAAUGAAAGAAAACAAAAUGAAAACAAAAUGAAAAGAAAAAAAAAAAAAAAAAAAAGAAAGAAA
Mytilus californianus (California mussel) is the source of this 965-nucleotide long non-coding RNA. RefSeq lists it as uncharacterized. The transcript has 6 exons. The record is from RefSeq and is a predicted model, not a curated record. Lineage: Eukaryota; Metazoa; Mollusca; Bivalvia; Mytilida; Mytilidae.